This 278-nucleotide ribosomal RNA is filed under the name Petascelis remipes. RNAcentral describes it as "partial small subunit ribosomal RNA". Lineage: Eukaryota; Metazoa; Arthropoda; Insecta; Hemiptera; Coreidae. The record is from RNAcentral.
AAUCGAUGAUCCACGUUGGAUUUAACUUUACUUUUUGUUUGUAUAUCUCUGUCAUUGAAUGUUUUAUUAGAAUAUUUUCUUAAAUCAUUAAUUUGGUUAAUGUCAGGUCAAGGUGCAGUUAUAGUGAAGGUUGAAAUGGGUUACAUUUAAUGUUCAUUAAUUGGAUUAUUUUUAUUGGAAUUAAUGUCUAUGAAAUAGGAUUUGAUAGUAAUUAUUAUUAUUUUAUUGUAAUGAUUAUGGCUCUAAAUUAUGCACACAUCGCCCGUCACUCUCAUUUA